Molecule: ribosomal RNA, 253 nt
Filed under: uncultured bacterium
Lineage: Bacteria
Description: partial 16S ribosomal RNA
Rfam family: Bacterial small subunit ribosomal RNA
Source: RNAcentral
UACGUAGGGGGCGAGCGUUGUCCGGAAUUAUUGGGCGUAAAGCGCGCGCAGGCGGCUCUUUAAGUCUGAUGUGAAAGCCCGCGGCUCAACCGCGGAGGGUCAUUGGAAACUGGGGAGCUUGAGUGCAGGAGAGGAGAGUGGAAUUCCACGUGUAGCGGUGAAAUGCGUAGAGAUGUGGAGGAACACCAGUGGCGAAAGCGGCUCUCUGGCCUGUCACUGACGCUGAGGCGCGAAAGCGUGGGGAGCAAACAGG